Molecule: ribosomal RNA, 368 nt
Filed under: uncultured bacterium
Lineage: Bacteria
Description: bacterial SSU rRNA
Rfam family: Bacterial small subunit ribosomal RNA
Source: RNAcentral
ACGGAGGAUGCGAGCGUUAUCCGGAUUCAUUGGGUUUAAAGGGUGCGUAGGCGGACUAAUAAGUCAGUGGUGAAAUCCUGCAGCUUAACUGCAGAACUGCCAUUGAUACUGUUAGUCUUGAGUUUGGUUAAGGUAGGCGGAAUGUGUAAUGUAGCGGUGAAAUGCUUAGAUAUUACACAGAACACCAAUUGCGUAGGCAGCUUACUGGACCGACACUGACGCUGAGGCACGAAAGCGUGGGGAUCGAACAGGAUUAGAUACCCUGGUAGUCCACGCCGUAAACGAUGAUUACUCGCUGUUGGCGAUACACAGUCAGCGGCUAAGCAAAAGCAAUAAGUAAUCCACCUGGGGAGUACGGCCGCAAGGUU